AAUGGGGAGCCCAAAGGCCAGUGUCCGGAGCGCGCAGAUACAGAAGCACGCAGCAAACCGCCCACGUUACCGCGAUCCGAACAUUUCACCGGAUCAUUCAAUCGGUAGGAGCGAUGGGUGACAGAGAAUUAGGGUUCGAUUCCGGGGAGGGAGCCUGAGAAACGGCUACCACAUCCAAGGAAGGCAGCAGGCGCGUAAAUUACCCAAUCCUGACACGGGGAGGUGUCGAUU
Molecule: ribosomal RNA, 231 nt
Organism: Nicotiana attenuata
Lineage: Eukaryota; Viridiplantae; Streptophyta; Magnoliopsida; Solanales; Solanaceae
Rfam family: Microsporidia small subunit ribosomal RNA
Source: Rfam